Molecule: ribosomal RNA, 712 nt
Filed under: uncultured Pelagibacteraceae bacterium
Lineage: Bacteria; Pseudomonadati; Pseudomonadota; Alphaproteobacteria; Candidatus Pelagibacterales; Candidatus Pelagibacteraceae
Description: bacterial SSU rRNA
Rfam family: Bacterial small subunit ribosomal RNA
Source: RNAcentral
UAUGGCCUGGAAUAACACGAGGAAACUUGUGCUAAUACUGGAUAAGUCUUUACGGAGAAAGCUUUAUGCACCAUUGGAUGAGCCUGCACUUGAUUAGUUUGUUGGUAGGGUAAUGGCCUACCAAGACUGUGAUCAAUAGCUGAUUUGAGAGGAUGAUCAGCCACAUUGGGACUGAGACACGGCCCAAACUCCUACGGGAGGCAGCAGUGGGGAAUCUUGCACAAUGGAGGAAACUCUGAUGCAGCGAUGCCGCGUGAGUGAAGAAGGCCCUUGGGUUGUAAAGCUCUUUCGUCGGGGAAGAAAAUGACUGUACCCGAAUAAGAAGGUCCGGCUAACUUCGUGCCAGCAGCCGCGGUAAUACGAAGGGACCUAGCGUAGUUCGGAAUUACUGGGCUUAAAGAGUUCGUAGGUGGUUGAAAAAGUUGGUGGUGAAAUCCCAGAGCUUAACUCUGGAACUGCCAUCAAAACUUUUCAGCUAGAGUAUGAUAGAGGAAAGCAGAAUUUCUAGUGUAGAGGUGAAAUUCGUAGAUAUUAGAAAGAAUACCAAUUGCGAAGGCAGCUUUCUGGAUCAUUACUGACACUGAGGAACGAAAGCAUGGGUAGCGAAGAGGAUUAGAUACCCUCGUAGUCCAUGCCGUAAACGAUGUGUGUUAGACGUUGGAAAUUUAUUUUCAGUGUCGCAGUGAAAACGAUAAACACACCGCCUGGGGAG